Molecule: long non-coding RNA, 2197 nt
Organism: Helicoverpa armigera (cotton bollworm)
Lineage: Eukaryota; Metazoa; Arthropoda; Insecta; Lepidoptera; Noctuidae
Exons: 2
Source: RefSeq, a predicted model, not a curated record
UCGGAGACUGUCAAUAGUACGGACACUAAACGUCACGCAAGCGCGCCCUCUGGUGGCGUUUCCGGUGAAACAACAUUUUGGCGCGCUUGGCAGAGUAGUGGUGGUCGGCGUGGCGUCCGCGGAGCUCAGUCUUGGUCGAGUCGUCGUGCUGCGCACAUCUCGAUACUGCCUUUCGUUACGUGUAGUGUACCUAGUGUUGUAGUACUGUUGUAGAUCCAUAUUGUAAAGUGUGUAAAGUGUCUUUUGAAAUUAAAGUGUAAAGGUUCUUCUAACCUAACAGACAGACAUGUGUUGCUGGGGAGUUUGUUCCGCCACUUCUUCUCCCCAAGCCAAAACACAUAGGAAGUGGCGAAGGGCGGGCGUUUUGGGGGCUGUCUUUUGUUCUGACUAAUUUGAAUAAACGUUUGACUUUUGAGUUCGUUUGAGUUUUGAGUUUCUUUGAGUUAUCUCUUUGCUUGAUUACCCUAACUGAUGUCGGACGAUAGUGCCAUCCUGAUGUUCCGCCGCCUUCCGACAUCAGAAGUGGGAUGUAAUCCGAAUGCCCACAUGUGUUAAGGGUUGCCAUGCCCACGUGUUCAAAAAGUGAAAAAGUGAUGUGCUCGUUCGGAGUGAUGUGUGGCGGCCGAUGGUGGAUUAGUUUCGGGAGAAUUCGCCACGUGAAGACAAACUUUCUGGAUUUCUGAGUGCACGAUAGGCACAGGCUGAAUACCUACUGGGAGAAGAAAAUAAGGGAACAUCAGAAUUUUGAUAUGGAGGUUAUAGUAACCACGGUUAUGGUAAUGGUAUCGAUUUCCAUUGUGACAUGUCAAACUAGUUAUUGAAGGUACGCUAGAAAAUUAACCGAUUUAUCUUCUCAUUUUCAUGUUUCAACAAUGACGGUGAUUAUUGUGCAAUAUGGCGACAAAAUUACUGCGGAGCAUCUCAGCUGCCAGGAGCCUGACGUGUCAUCGUGAGGUCGGAGUGUUGGUGCUCGUGCAUCUACGUGGCUUCACGUCCGCGAAAGCCUUGCUGUACUGCGCGCCAUAGCGAUGUGCGCAUCGUCAUGCGCGUUGAGGUGUUGAGUGGAAACCCGAUAACAUCUAAGGUGAACCGAGCCUGGAGAACAGGACGAGGUCCACUAGUCAAGCGGCGCGCGAGGUGCGCUGCAGUUGCUGUUUGGAGCGUCAUCCUCCCCCGGAUUUGUCGUGGAGGCCGUAUGAGUUGCGGCAGGCCAGGACAUCGCAUGUCAUCGCACAAGGUGAAAGCAUUCUAUUGCAUUGAAAAUGUUUAGAUUGAUCAGACAAACUUGACAAUGACUAGCCUGUGUGGCAAUGACUAUCCUGUGUGGCAGCUAGGAGCCUGUGUGGCAGCUAGGAGCCUGUGUGGCAGCUAGGAGCCUGUGUGGCAGCUAGGAGCCUGUGUGGCAGCUAGGAGCCUGUGUGGCAGCUAGGAGCCUGUGUGGCAGUUAGGAGCCUGUGUGGCAGUUGGUAGCCUGUGUGGCAGUUGGUAGCCUGUGUGGCAAUUGGUAGCCUGUGUGGCAGUUGGUAGCCUGUGUGGCAGUUGGUAGCCUGUGUGGCAGUUGGUAGCCUGUGUGGCAUUCAAGUGUGAGCGAUAUUAAUAAGCCUGUGUGGCGUAAUUAUGACCCUAUGUGGUUCUGUGGUUCAGAUGGAUCUGUGUGACUUUUGUUCAGUGUGCUACAUAGUGGUCAGGAGUGGCCGAGGUUGUACUGUGCAUACUGUGCUGUGUUUGUGUUGUUGCAGAUUAACCCACGAGGACUACGCAGGAUGGCUGUGUCGGAGACUGUCAAUAGUACGGACACUAAACGUCACGCAAGCGCGCCCUCUGGUGGCGUUUCCGGUGAAACAACAUUUUGGCGCGCUUGGCAGAGUAGUGGUGGUCGGCGUGGCGUCCGCGGAGCUCAGUCUUGGUCGAGUCGUCGUGCUGCGCACAUCUCGAUACUGCCUUUCGUUACGUGUAGUGUACCUAGUGUUGUAGUACUGUUGUAGAUCCAUAUUGUAAAGUGUGUAAAGUGUCUUUUGAAAUUAAAGUGUAAAGGUUCUUCUAACCUAACAGACAGACAUGUGUUGCUGGGGAGUUUGUUCCGCCACUUCUUCUCCCCAAGCCAAAACACAUAGGAAGUGGCGAAGGGCGGGCGUUUUGGGGGCUGUCUUUUGUUCUGACUAAUUUGAAUAAACGUUUGACUUUUGAGUUCAUUUGA